CAAAGGAAGGGUCUUUCCUCCCUCAUCCACCUUGAUGGUUGGGAAAUCUGGAAAGAAAGAAAUGCGCGUGUCUUUAGGAACAAGGCGGUGGCGGUGGCGGUGAUUGUUCGAGCUAGUAAGGAACAAGUAACACUUUGGGGUUUUGCGGGUGCCAAGCACUUGAGUCAUGUAAUGCCGCAAGAGUAA
RNAcentral lists this ribosomal RNA (186 nucleotides) under Triticum aestivum (bread wheat). Its description in RNAcentral is "partial small subunit ribosomal RNA". The record is from RNAcentral. Lineage: Eukaryota; Viridiplantae; Streptophyta; Magnoliopsida; Poales; Poaceae.